CUUCCCUCUUCAUUUUUCUCCCAGGUCAUACCUGUCAUAAAUGAACAUGGUUCUCUGUGGUUCAUGAACCUGGUGGAGCAUCGCAUUUGCAUGCUGUCCUCUGGCAGAGGCUGAAUCAGGGAGUGGGAGCAAGUAAUGGAAAGGUAGCUUUCCCUCUGAAAUGACAAAGAUUUCCCAGGGCAAGAAUUACUGAAAACUCUCUUGGCAGUGAGAAGAAGGUCCAUGGCAUUCUGGCUGAAGCUCAGAACAAAAGUCAAGAAAGUCCAUCAUCAUCCAUGGAGUUUCUGUUGCUCUGUUUAUUGAAGAUAGAGGAAGCAGGAGGAGAAGAAUUACAAUGUGUUGUCCAAAGGUAAUCCUGGUAAAGACGUGAACACCUCAGAAUGAGAAGUCAAGAUAAGUUGGAAAUCCCUGGAAUUGUUUCCCACUGAGCUCCACUGUGGAAGCUGUCACUGUGUAGCAGCAAGGGAUAGGGAGAAAUCAGCUUCAGCAACAGACUGCUAGUGUCUCUCUGGCAAAGGAGUAAGUGAUGGAUAAAUAACCAAUGAUUUCAUAAAAGCCCAUCUUAUUGCAGAUAACAACUGAAUUUUGGGGAGAUUUGUGGAAACUGGAGAGUCUAUUUACAAAAUACCAUCCUACCAAGGAACAGGGUGGAUAUAAAAGGCCUUCAUGUAGCCAUGUGGCAGCCAGAAUGAGUGGGUGGUGACUGAUUGAAAUAUUUUGGGAUAAAUGAAGAUGAUUCUAAAUGAAAAGUACUGUGUUACAAACCAUUGGAGAUCUG
Molecule: long non-coding RNA, 778 nt
Filed under: Accipiter nisus (Eurasian sparrowhawk)
Lineage: Eukaryota; Metazoa; Chordata; Aves; Accipitriformes; Accipitridae
Description: lncRNA (ENSANIG00000003995.1)
Source: RNAcentral